AUUGAACGCUGGCGGCAGGCCUAACACAUGCAAGUCGAACGAGUGGCGGACGGGUGAGUAAUGUCUGGGAAACUGCCUGAUGGAGGGGGAUAACUACUGGAAACGGUAGCUAAUACCGCAUACCAUCGGAUGUGCCCAGAUGGGAUUAGCUAGUAGGUGGGGUAACGGCGCACCUAGGCGACGAGCCCUAGCUGGUCUGAGAGGAUGACCAGCCACACUGGAUGUGAGACACGGGCCAUACGCCUCCGCAAGGCAGCAAUGGGUAAUAUUUCACGAUGGGCGCAAGCCGGAUGCAGCCAUGCCGCGUGUAUGAAGAAGGCCUUCGGGUUGUAAAGUACUUUCGUCGUGGAGGCGUUACCUGCAGAAGAAGCACCGGCUAACUCCGUGCCAGCAGCCGCGGUAAUAC
This 406-nucleotide ribosomal RNA is filed under the name uncultured bacterium. RNAcentral describes it as "partial 16S ribosomal RNA". It matches the Rfam family "Bacterial small subunit ribosomal RNA", at positions 30 to 526 of the family's 1533-position model. The record is from RNAcentral.